RNAcentral lists this small RNA (26 nucleotides) under Bombyx mori (domestic silkworm). RNAcentral's name for it is "ovarian small RNA-26915". The record is from RNAcentral. Lineage: Eukaryota; Metazoa; Arthropoda; Insecta; Lepidoptera; Bombycidae.
UCCAUAGUAAAUGUGCGGCUAAAAAA